This 81-nucleotide small RNA is filed under the name unclassified sequences. RNAcentral's name for it is "dinG RNA". It matches the Rfam family "dinG RNA". The record is from Rfam by way of RNAcentral.
AAUGAGACUUCCGCGACAGCGGUCCGCCGAUUGUGCGGAAUAUGGAGGUCCGGGCUGAAAAAUAUGCCCGCGACGCCAUAU